GGCCCGCACAAGCGGUGGAGCAUGUGGUUUAAUUCGACGCAACGCGAAGAACCUUACCAGGUCUUGACAUCCUCGGAACUUGGCAGAGAUGCCUUGGUGCCUUCGGGAGCCGAGUGACAGGUGCUGCAUGGCCGUCGUCAGCUCGUGUCGUGAGAUGUUGGGUUAAGUCCCGUAACGAGCGCAACCCCUAUCCCUAGUUGCUAGCAGUUCGGCUGAGAACUCUAGGGAGACUGCCGGUGACAAACCGGAGGAAGGUGGGGAUGACGUCAGGUCAUCAUGGCCCUUACGGCCAGGGCUACACACGUGCUACAAUGGUGCGCACA
This 323-nucleotide ribosomal RNA is filed under the name Durinskia baltica. RNAcentral describes it as "partial Bacterial small subunit ribosomal RNA". It matches the Rfam family "Bacterial small subunit ribosomal RNA", at positions 918 to 1241 of the family's 1533-position model. Lineage: Eukaryota; Dinophyceae; Peridiniales; Kryptoperidiniaceae. The record is from RNAcentral.